UGGGGAAUAUUGGACAAUGGGGGAAACCCUGAUCCAGCAAUGCCGCGUGUGUGAAGAAGGCCUGCGGGUUGUAAAGCACUUUCGGUGGGGAAGAACAGGUUUCGGGCUAAUAUCCCGGAGCACUGACGGUACCCAAAGAAGAAGCACCGGCUAACUCUGUGCCAGCAGCCGCGGUAAUACAGAGGGUGCGAGCGUUAAUCGGAAUUACUGGGGCGUAAAGCGCACGUAGGUGGCUUCCUAAGUCGGAUGUGAAAUCCCCGGGCUUAACCUGGGAAUGGCAUUCGAUACUGGGAAGCUAGAGUCUGGUAGAGGGUGGUGGAAUUCCAGGUGUAGCGGUGAAAUGCGUAGAUAUCUGGAGGAACAUCAGUGGUGAAGGCGGCCACCUGGACUGAGACUGACACUGAGGUGCGAAAGCGUGGGUAGCAAACAGGAUUAGAUACCCUGGUAGUCCACGCCGUAAACGAU
This 465-nucleotide ribosomal RNA is filed under the name uncultured Pseudomonadota bacterium. RNAcentral's name for it is "bacterial SSU rRNA". It matches the Rfam family "Bacterial small subunit ribosomal RNA", at positions 355 to 810 of the family's 1533-position model. Lineage: Bacteria; Pseudomonadati; Pseudomonadota. The record is from RNAcentral.